Molecule: long non-coding RNA, 1818 nt
Filed under: Oryctolagus cuniculus (rabbit)
Lineage: Eukaryota; Metazoa; Chordata; Mammalia; Lagomorpha; Leporidae
Description: lncRNA (ENSOCUG00000031753.1)
Source: RNAcentral
UGAAUUCCAGAGGGCUCCAUUACCAUAUUGUUUAAGGUCUUUGUCCUACACAUCUUUAAGGAUGAAGAACUUACAAUAAGAAUAAUGUGGGGAGCGGGCGUUGUGGCAUAGUGGGUUAAGCCGUCAUUUGGAGCUGGCAUCUUCUAUCAGAGUGCUGGUUCAAGUUCAAGCUGCUCUGCUUGCAAUCCAGCUUCUUGCUAAUGCACCUGGGAAGGGGGCAGAUGAGGGCUCCUGCCACCCCAUGGGAGACCAGGAUGGAGUUCCUGGCUCCUGGCUUUGGCUUGGCCCAGCCUUGUCUAUUGUGGCUGUUUGGGGAGCGAACCAGCAAAUGGAAGAUCUCUCUGUUGUUCUAACUUUUGAACAAAUAAAUAAAUAAAUCUUACAAAAAAUAAAAGCACAACAUAUGUGGCAGGGCAUUCCUUUGUGAGCAGCUGUCACGUGGGUGAUUCAGAGCCUCAGUCCUCAGUAUCUUCCUCCUUGAAAUGGGAAUAAUGACAACAUCUGCCUACUUGGGUUGUUGUGGUUUAAAGAGUUAAUGUCUAGAAAGUUCUUGGCACGGUGCCGGUUUCACUGUAGACGCUGCGUGAUUGCUUGUGUGCUUACCUAUCCUUUCCUCCUUGGAAUCCCUUUUAUGCUUUUCUCUUCCAUUCACCCGCUGGAGUCUCGUCCUUGAUCACUGACCCAAGGAGGGGAUGUGACCCCAAAGAUCAGAGGCAAGAAAGCGCUCCUUGCGGCUGUUGAGUUUCAGAAGACAGAAACAAGGCGGAGAUCAUGGAUACUCCACCUGCCACCCCGGCUGGAAACAUCGCAUUUUAGAUCAAGAGGAAAGCAAACGGGGUUGGGAAGUUAUGAGAACUUAGAUGCCAGUAGGCCCCUGAGAAAGGGGCCCAGGAGCCUGGUUCCCAUGUCAGUGUUAGGGACACAGAAGCCAAAACCAACCAACCCCAAAUUGUCAAUCACAAAACAAGAAAAACAACCAAACAAAAAACUCCACAGUAACUUCCUAGCAGCUGAGAACAGAGUGAAUCCAUGUCCUGUCUCUUUAAGAUUCUGGGAUACGAUACUAAUGACUGUCCAUUGUCACUUGGCAGGUGCAGCCUCAAUCCAGCCUAAAUUGUCCUCCAAGACCUGUCUGGGCCCCAGCAUGGUUUCUUGGCCCCCACCAGUGGCAGACAGAGGAUGGGAAUGCAAGCAUCUGGGGACCCAUGACAAAUGGAUCUACCAUAUGACCCGGCUAUCCCACUUCUAGGAAUACAGCUAAAGGAAGUGAAAUCAGCAUAUGAAAGGGAUAUCGUCACUUCCAUGUGUAUAGCAGCUCGAUUCAUAAUAAUGAAGAUAUGGAAUCAAUCUAGAGGACCAUCAACUUAUGACUGAAUACAGAAAAUGUUACUUAUGUACAUUUAUCUUCCAGAUUAAAUUCUAUUGCCUUGAACUUCAACUACCGGGCUCAUUGUCUUACCCAUGUGUUCCAGUAGCCACCAGGACUCCCCACUGUUUGCAGCUUCCAUAAUGCAUAGUAAUUGCUUAUCCCGAUACACUAUACAUGCUUUGAAGGCAGGUUCACCUAGUUCAUCAUUUUAAUUCCAGUGCCUAACAUAUAAUAGACAUAUCAGGGGCCAGUGUUGUAGCACAGUGGGUUAAGUCCCUGCCUGCAACACCAGAAUUACAGAGAGAGAGAGAGAGAAAGAGAUAUCAAGUGCUCAUAUGGGAUGCCUGUGCAGCAGGUGGCAGCUUAACCCACUGUACCACGACACUGGCAGGCUCACUGUUAAUUUUCUAAUCAAUAAAAGUGAGUCCUCUUUUUGGUCUUUAGCUCCC